RNAcentral lists this long non-coding RNA (251 nucleotides) under Mytilus galloprovincialis (Mediterranean mussel). The record is from RNAcentral. Lineage: Eukaryota; Metazoa; Mollusca; Bivalvia; Mytilida; Mytilidae.
UUUUUUAUGUUUAAAAAAAUCUUGAUAUUAUUAGGAAUGCUUGGGUAACAAUUCUUAAUUGGAGAUGCAGCAUUUUUAACAAAAUGUUGUGAAUACUGUUUAAUACAAUUUAUCAAGCCAUAAUAUUUCAGAAAGUCUGUACGUAUGUGAUAUUCGUCCUGGAAUUUGGUCAGAGAAAAAUAUUCUCCAGCUUCAUCUAAUAAAUCAUUUACAAUGUGUACACCUUUGUCAUACCAGUCUUUGUAGAAAAC